This 266-nucleotide ribosomal RNA is filed under the name uncultured prokaryote. RNAcentral describes it as "partial 16S ribosomal RNA". It matches the Rfam family "Bacterial small subunit ribosomal RNA", at positions 523 to 780 of the family's 1533-position model. The record is from RNAcentral.
GUACGGAGAUGCGUAGCGUUACCGUCCGGACUUUAUUGGGUUUAAAGGGGUGCGGUAGGACGGGCCGAGUAAGUCAGCGGUGAAAUUUUGCAGCUUAACUGUAACAGUGCCGUUGAUACUGCAUGGCUAGGAUUUGGUUGCUGUGGGUGGAAUGUGUGGUGUAGCGGUGAAAUGCUUAGAUAUCACGAGGAACUCCGAUUGCGCAGGCAGCUUACUAAACCACUACUGACGCUCAGGCACGAAAGUGUGGGGAUCAAACAGGAUUA